RNAcentral lists this long non-coding RNA (6691 nucleotides) under Daucus carota (carrot). RNAcentral's name for it is "long non-coding RNA (DCAR_LNC000962)". Lineage: Eukaryota; Viridiplantae; Streptophyta; Magnoliopsida; Apiales; Apiaceae. The record is from RNAcentral.
GGUCUUGUGCAACUCCCACUGCCAGAGCAUGAAUCGUUGUUGCGGCAUUGUAUCAAGGGAAGUACAUUAUGGCCGAAGGAUGCUGCCCUGACACCUCCUGAUCAGAUCAACCACUGGAGCCACGAACAUAAACUUUUACUAAAAAAUCCAACUGUUGCAAGUACUACUUCUGAAGAAGAAAUAUGGCCUAUCUGUAACGGGUGCACUGAAUCUAUCACCAUAAAAGAUGGUGCAUUUUAUGAAUGUGGAGAAUGUGAUUACAUUCUCCACGGAUACUGUGCCCACUUUCCACAAGAGAUGUCUGACCGUGCAGGAUAUAGACGCAAGAUAGUGGCAAUUCAACCCAGGGUCCAUGAUAUCUGGUCUUGCGCUCGUUGUAAAGGUUUUAGAAAUGGGACACAAAUGCGAUACACUUAUGAAGGCGAUUAUGCACAGAAAAGUACAAUUGAGCGCAAUUUUGACAGUGCUUGUGUUAUUCUACCUGAACGCAUCGUACACAAAGCUCAUCAACACAAAAGUCGUCCUAACUUCUUUUUUCGUGCAUCAGCUGGUGAAAACACUACUUGUUCAGCGUGCAACCAAACACUAGACGGGUUUGACAUCUGUUAUGCAUGUAAUGGUUUUGAAUGUUUUAGAUGCAUACAUAUCGAAUGUGCUCUUAAGCCACUUAGAGUGACACAUCGAUGGGAUCCUCACCCCCUUCACUUGAUAACUUCCGCAGAAGAAGUAAUAGAUCAUCCUCAUGAAUUCCAAUGUGAAUUUUGCUCAGAAGAGAUAGACCCCAACUAUUGGUUCUACCAUUGCAGUAUUUGUGAUCUGUCCUUUCAUUUUAAAGGAUGCAUCGAUCCGUUUCCCUACUCAAAGGUCAAGUUUGGGGCUACCAAUAUUAUGCUUGACGCUCACCAGCACGGCCUCACCUUUGUUCUUAAUAAAAAGAAACACCAACCAUGUCAUAGAUGCCAUAAAGAUACAUUUGGUAGGCCGGUCCUUGUGUGCAUACCAUGUAAUUUCGUGCAACACUCCCAGCCUGAGUUAUGCACUUGAUGUUAAUUUGUAAAUGUUCUGAUUGUUUGCAUGUAUUUUACAUUUUCACCUAUAUUAAAAUAUUUUCUUGCUUUGUUGUUUGCAUUUUAAGCUUAGUUCAUGUAGUACUAUAUAUUGAGAUUUCUUAGUUCAUCUUAUAAGUACUUGUAAGGGCAGCUUUCAAGAUUUUCGUAUUCGGGCCUGGUGUUUCCUCUGGGGAGAUGUAGUCACUGUACUUGUCGUAACUUCAUGUCUUGAUGUCUCUAAUAUGAUCAGUAGAGGUUCUUAAUUCUAUAGUCUUCGUAUAAGCAACAGGUAAGAAGCAGAAACAGCACUGCUUGCUGAAUAAUCUGCAAGUUCCAGAAUCAGCAACAUGUGGUAUGUUCAUAUUUUAGGCCUUUCCGGAUACAUUAGAGGGUGUAAGCUUUCAGUCUUGGUUGCUACUAGUCUUUUGCUUCUUCCACUUGUAAGCAGCUUCCAAGAUCUUCUUAUUCAUGGCCUCUGCUUCUUCCAGAAUGACGUGGUCGAUAUACUCCUCGUUACUGCAUAAUAUAUUGGCCUUGUUUGGAAGUUGUUUGACCAUUAAAAUAAGCUAAUAUUUGUGUUUGGUAGUUAGCGGAUUGAAAUAGAGGUUUGGAUCCAAAAAGCUAAUUUUGAAAAAGCUACUUUGAGGAGCUUUUUGGAUUAGCGGUUUUGGUUUGUGUCAGAAAAAACUAAUCAAUCAGCUAUCUACCAAACAGUUUUACGAGAAACAGCUAAUUCAAUCCGCUAGCCAAAACAUCUAAUUUAAUCAGCUAGUCAAAACAGCUAAUUCGAUCCGCUAACAGCUAACCGCUAACCGCUAAUUCCCAAACAGGGCCAAUAAAUCAGACGCAGCCAGAACAUGCUUGAUGUUAAUUAGAAAAUAAAUUGCAUAAAUAAAAUAUUGCUCUGCUUCUUAUUCUUGAUGUUGAUAAGGAAAUUUGAUAAAUUCUGGUACAUUCGGUCAUGUUUUUGACUUUGUAAUUAGUACAUUCUCACAUUGGAGACCCGACUGAUUUCAAAUAUUCAUUGAAAAAAUAAUAUAUAAUAUUUCAACUCGGUCUUUGUGAUUCCUGAUUGCCGCUAAAAAAUGGCUCUCGCGAUGUUUGUUUCAGACAAAGAUCUGUCAAAAAAAUUUAACAUAAGAAACUCUCUUAAUAUUAGCAUCUCAUUCUUGCCCUCUUAACAACUGUAUGUUAAAUGAAGUACACUUUUUUGUGGUUCUAAAUAAUGAUGUUAAUGUACCUGGAUGUUUGUAAUACCAAGCCUCAAGACAUACUAUAAUUGCAAUUGUUCUAAUUUAAACCCUGUUUAGUACUCAUUAAAAGAAAGAUCAGUGUGUGUUUGUACAAUGGGUACUUCAUUGUUUGAGCUCUCUAGUAAGAAAGCUUGGCUUUGGGCAGCCAUGUAGGCUGUAACCUAUUCGAUUUAGAGUAAAUUCACAGUGGAAUUCAUCCUCAUGAAUUCCACUGUGAAUUUUGCUCAGAAGAGAUUGACACAAACUAUUGGUUCUACCAUUGCAGUGUUUGUGAUCUGUCCUUUCAUUUGAUAGGCUGCAUGGAUCUGUUUCUCUACUCAAAGGUCAAGUUCGGAGCAACCAAUAUUAAGCUUGAUGCUCACCAUCAUGGCCUCACCUUUGUUCUAAAUAAAAAGAAGCGCCAACCAUGUCACAGAUGCCAUAAAGAUACAUUCCGUAAGCCAGUCCUUCAGUGUGCGCCAUGCAAAUUCGUGCAACAUGCCCAGCCUGAGUUAUGCUCUUGAUGUUGAUUUCUAAAUGUUCUGAUUGUUUGCUUGUAUUUUACAUUUUACCGGCCUGAAUAAAAAAGCUGCUUGCUUUGUUGUUUCUGUCUUAAGAUUGUUUAUGUAGUAUUGCUGUGAUUUAUCAUUUUAUAAAUAUACAUUAAUUUUGUUUGAUCAGUAGAGAUUUGUAUUUCCGACUAUAAUGUACUCAAAAAGCUAUAAAAGCCAUUAACAUAUAUAAUUAUGGUGUAAAUUUCAGAGUCAUGGCCAAAAUUUGUACCUAGUUCCACGAUGUUUGCAAAAAUCAAUUCUUUUUGAGCCUUAGGGGAAACGAGGACUAGCUUUAUAGCCCGUGCCAGGCACGGGCAUGUUUCAACUUAUUUUAUUGUAAGUUUUUAUGUCAAGUUAAGAAAUGAGUUAUAUUUUGUUUUAACUGUUUGCUUCCUUCACUUCAUAGUGUUAUUUAUUUAGUUAAAUAGUAGUAACUAAUAUAACAAAAACUUUAUAAAUGAUUGAAAAUUAAAUUAGCAUUGAACUUUUGAUGUCUAGAGAACUCAUUGCCCAUAUCAUCCUUCAUCAAAAAAUCCCACUUAACAGACAAAUUUAACAGACAAAUCCCACUUGGUUGGCAAAUUAAGUUUCGCCUGCAAACUCUUUGUAGGUCCUCAGGGCAUGGCUCUGCACAUUCAUAUGUAUGGUAUGAUCAGUAGUUAAGUUAACGUCGAGAUUACUAUAUAAUCAAACUUAAUUGAGGAAAUAUUAAAUACAUAAUUAUAAUUUUAAGAGAAACUCACAAUUUUCUUCUUAUAAUUGGAGCGGAGGAAAAAGACAACAAACAUAUACAAGAAAAGAUGCACCAAGAUAUAGAAAUGAGUAAUGUCUUAAUCUACUCCUCUGCAAUUUUAAGUUGAGCUUAUCAGCUUAUGCAUUAAGUAUGAAUGGCCUAACUAAAUCUACUUCAUAACAGACUACGUGUAUAUAAUUCUUUAAUUAUAUCAAUUGUAGUGCAGAACUAAGAUAAAUUCAAAUGCCAGAGCAGAUACAUUAUUAUCUUAUUAUUUUUAAUUAAGGGGCUGAUUAGUAAGUGUAAAUAGGGUUGAUAAUGAACCAAGUUGAAUCACAUAGUUUUAGCAGGCUACAUCAGCAUUACCUUAAUAAGUGGAUAGCAAACAACUGACAGGGAAUGCAAAAGUUUUGAUACGUAAAUAGCCAAGAGUACUUGUGAAGAAAAUAGACAAAAGUUAUUCUUAUAUUGUAGUUGGAGUACUUUAUUAUAUUCUUGACUUGCGCUUCUAUUAGGUGAUAUCUUUUUAACAUUCUUUACUUGUGUUCGUAAAUAUUCUCAAGUCUUUUUAAUAUUCUUCACUUGUACAGUGGCUCUGCAUUUUUAUCUACAUGAAAUUAGAAAGUGCACCAACAUUAACUUUGCAAAUUCAUGUGAAUACUGCAUGUAGUUUUUCUUUAUGAAUCUUUAAUGACAAAGCAGUAGUUAAAUUAUAUUCUUGUUUCAGAAUCAUGGUAUACAUUUCUUGCAAGUUUCUUCAGAAUCUCCAAGACCCUAUAUAACAGUGAAAUCUCUGAGACCUGAUAUCAAGGCGUGCUCUCCUAACUUCGUUUAUCAUGUUGCUCUCAAAAAUGAUGAUCUCUUCAGACUUAGCAAGCCAAGUUCAUCGUCAUCAACUGAUAAAGAACGAGGAUUAUCAUGCCCGUGAAGGUGAUCUCUGUUAUGGCUGUGGUUCACUCCUAUAUCAAUCAUCGUUUAUUUAUCAUUGUACCUACUUUGGUACCAAUGCUGAAGAAGAUGAUUGUGCUCAUUUUUUUAUUCACAAAACCUGUGCACAUUUACCCACAAAGCUUGAGCAUCCAAGCCACCAACAUAUGCUAAAAUUAUCUGCACGUCCACUAUCCUUUCCUAUUUCCAGAGACAAAUGUGAUGUUUGUGGCAUCACGUUGAAAUGGUUCACUUACUAUUACCGUUUCUAUAGGUCUGAAUUUCAAAUUUGUCUGGCAUGUGUUAUACCUUUUAAUAAAAUUACUAUACACCCUCCGUAUCAUCCUCACAAGCUAACCUUUCUAGCGAACCUAGCAGCUUUCCGAUGUGAUGGCUGCCAUGAAUUGGAUACUGACUUUUCUUAUAUGUGCUCCACAUGCCCCUUCUGGAUCCACCUCAAGUGCAGUCAUCUACCACCAUUGUUAGCCUGUGAUAUUCACCAUAAGCAUCCUCUUAGGCUAACAUAUUCUUUACCAGAAAAUUACCGUAGAUUUCAGCAGUCUUGCAGAAUCUGUAGACAAUAUUUGCGUGACCCUAGAGAUUGGCUCUACCACUGUCCAGACUGCAGAUUCUUUGCGCACAUCAAAUGUGCUACAUCACCUCCAAAAAGGUUGGAUUUCUUAUCUUUUGUGUAAGAUUUAUUUGUCUUUGAUCUAGUAUUUUGUUAUGUCAGUUUUCCCCUGCAUAUUACUCCCUCCAUCUCAUAUUAUGUGUCUUCUUUUGACUAUUUUAUAGUCAAAUUGACCAAAUUUUUACAACAAAUAACAUAAAUUAUAUAAUUAAUAAAAUUUUAUAAUUUAUAUCAUUAUAAAAUAUAUCUAAUCUACUGUAAAAUGUAUUUUUCAGUUUUCUGAAAUAAUUAAUAAUUUCUUUUUAAUCAUUGGUCAAAAUUUGGUCGAUUUGAUCGUACAAUAGUAAAAACAAGACACAUAAUAUGAGAUGGAAGGAGUAUAGGUCUUGUAGAAUAAAUACUUAUUUCUAGAGAAAAGUAUGUAAAUAUCUCUCUUUUUCAGAAACAAGUACUUAUUUUCGAGAAAAACUAAAUUGUAUUGGAUUAGUACUUGUUUUCAAAUUUCCAUUUGUUUGACCUUAUUCUCAUCUGCAGUCAUGGUGACUCCAAGUAUGCCAAUCAAGAUUAUUCAAUACAUAAGAGCAUCUCCAAGAGACUCUUCAUUUAGGCUCCUAACUUGAGAUUUGAGGAGGGAGAAGCAAAAUGUUGCUCCAAGAGACUCUUAAGUGGCUCUUAAAUCUUAAGAGCCUCUUGUUUCUCUCUCCUCUCUCCUCAAAGUUAAGAGCCACCACAUGGCUCCUAACUUAUUUUUUCACAAUAAAAAAAUCCUUCCCUCCAAUCAACUUCCAUCUUGCCCUCUCUUUUGUUAUAGUGUAGCCCAAUAUAUGAAUAAAAUAUGAAAUAGAGAAGAGAUGUAGAGAGUAUUGUUGGAGUUUACACUCUUAACUUUGUCCUAAAUUACUAAGAGCCACAUUUUUUAUAUUAUAUUUAGGAGCCAACAAGGAGGCUCUUGGAGAUGCUCAUCUCCAAGAGGCUCUUCAUUUAGGCUCCUAACUUGAGAUUUGAGGAGGGAGAGGAAAAAUGUUGCUCCAAGAGACUCUUAAGUGGCUCUUAAAUCACUAAGAGCCUCUUGUUUCUCUCUCCUUUCUCCUCAAAGUUAAGAGUCACCACAUGGCUCCUAACUUAUUUUUUCACAAUAAAAAAAUCCUUCCCUCCAAUUCACCUCCAUCUUUCCCUCUCUUUUGUUAUAGUGAAGCCCAAUAUAUGAAUAAAAUAUGAAAUAGAGAGGAGAUGUAGAGAGUAUUGUUGGAGUUUACACUCUUAACUUUGUCCUAAAUUACUAAGAGCCACAUUUUUUAUAUUAUAUUUAGGAGCCUCGGCUCUCGGAGAUUCCCUAAAUCAUUAUCAGGUCUUGUGCAACUCCCACUGCCAGAGCAUGAAUCGUUGUUGCGGCCUUGUAUCAAGGGAAGUACAUUAUGGUCGAAGGAUGCUGCCCUGACACCUCCUGAUCAGAUCAACCACUGGAGCCACCAACAUAAACUUUUACUAAAAAACCCGAGUGUUGCAAGUACUACUUCUGAAGAAGAAAUAUGGCCUAUCUGUAACGGGUGCACUGAAUCUAUCAC